CAGAGAUGGCUUGGUGCCUUCGGGAACUGUGAGACAGGUGCUGCAUGGCUGUCGUCAGCUCGUGUUGUGAAAUGUUGGGUUAAGUCCCGCAACGAGCGCAACCCUUAUCCUUUGUUGCCAGCGGUUCGGCCGGGAACUCAAAGGAGACUGCCAGUGAUAAACUGGAGGAAGGUGGGGAUGACGUCAAGUCAUCAUGGCCCUUACGACCAGGGCUACACACGUGCUACAAUGGCAUAUACAAAGAGAAGCGACCUCGCGAGAGCAAGCGGACCUCAUAAAGUAUGUCGUAGUCCGGAUUGGAGUCUGCAACUCGACUCCAUGAAGUCGGAAUCGCUAGUAAUCGUAGAUCAGAAUGCUACGGUGAAUACGUUCCCGGGCCUUGUACAC
This 387-nucleotide ribosomal RNA is filed under the name Klebsiella quasipneumoniae. Its description in RNAcentral is "bacterial SSU rRNA". It matches the Rfam family "Bacterial small subunit ribosomal RNA", at positions 1001 to 1388 of the family's 1533-position model. The record is from RNAcentral. Lineage: Bacteria; Pseudomonadati; Pseudomonadota; Gammaproteobacteria; Enterobacterales; Enterobacteriaceae.